GCUSUGGGGCCCAGGYUUCCCUSCUUUCCUCCCCUGCCCUUGCUGCUCUGCUCACAGCCAGGCCAGGCAGUGUUUCAGUGCUGGACAAAGAGCCAAGGGUGGACCCAGCGUUUGGGACCAGGGGAAGGUCUGAGCCUGCUGUGACCCACGGUGAGGUGCAGUCUCUGUUAUCACCUGUGGCCUUUUCACCAGUCUGAAUGCAGCCACCUCACCUGGGUUAUGGCCAAGAUGAAAACCACUGCAGGCAGCGUUUCUUGCCAGGCCUUUCUGUGAAAAAUGGUACUGUCAAAGAAAAGCAAGGGCAAUGUGACCAGCUCAAACAUUUUCUCCAGCUAGUACCCCUAAAUCUUCUUAGCACAAGUAAUUUGUUUCCAUUUACUAUUAGAGUUGUUAUUUUUCCCUUUUGCUUUUGUUAUGUCUGCUUUUCUGUUGGUGGUUCUGUUCUAACCAUAGGCUUUCCUUACAGAUGGGUGAAAGUAAAAUACACAUGUAAUCAUGAAGAGCUAUGUGUUUCAUUUUUUUUUUUUUUUCAUUUUUCUGGAUGGGUUAGAGUUUUUUCCCUUCGCUUGCUGGUUUUUGCAUUUUGUUUAAUAAAAGUGAUGAUUAAUGAUACAUUCUUUUUCUCCUCCUCUUUAAAGCUUUCACAUACUCCUAUAUCAAAGUGCAUAACAGUUGCUACUUUUAUUGUGCAGAUUCUCUAGAAGAAAUGUAGUUUUGAAAAUAAUUUCUAAUGUUAUUUUCUCUUCAAUAUUUUUUUUCAGCUUUAUGAAGUGUUACUUGUGGCUUAGUUUACCUUUUCCUUGCCUAAAUGUGCUUCCACCCUCAUUACCUUCCAGCCUUUCCUCACAGGCAGCUUGGCUCCAUGAAAGCUCUACCAUCUCCAUUGGCAGGAGCAUUUAAAAAAAGGAGUUUCUGUCCUGCAGUGUUUUCAACAUUUUCAACAUUUACUGUUCUGCAUAACCCAGCAUUGACUUCCUGAAAAUUGUUCACAAAAUCCUGAUCCUAAUGCCAAGCUGUCAGCAAACCCCCAGCCCCUGAGGAAGGCUGGCUCUWCCCCUGACCUUCACCCACAGCCCUGCAGCAAGGAUUUGAACUUGUGCUUCCUCUUGUGCAGGGCAUUAGACAGCUCUGAACAUUAGACUAGGCUUGCAGUCUUUCUCAAGCUUCAAAAUCCUUUUAAAUUCUCUGUAGUGUAUGCAGAUCUCUGAGUAUAGAGAAUUUAAGCAACUUAACAGGGACUUAAUUUACUUACUAAUUUCUUACAGAUUGUUGGAAAGCAGACCAGUAUAUUUCUGUUAAGGGAUAUCAUAGGGUGUGGGUUCAAGCUGCUCUCUUGAUUUUUUGGURUGCUGGUGACACCAACCUUGGUAUUACACUUUAUUCCAAAUUUCAUCUGGAACCUGAGAAGUCUUUACCACUGUAGGUUUUGUUGCUUGUUUUUGUCAAAACUGGCAUGGUCCCAUAAGCAAUUUUAGCUUCACUGAAUUACUCUUCAGUAUAGAAGUGUUUAUUAAAAAAAUCCUGAGUAGCAGCAGCUGAUAAUUUUAUGAUUGACUAUGGUGAUGUCUCCUGGCAACAUGACUGAAGAAAGAUCAACCCACAUUGCUCAUUUGUCCAGACAUUUCCAGAUUGCUGUGUUUAUCUUGUUGAUGCUAAGCUAUUUCACUUCACCAGUACUCCCUGCACUGCAUUUUGUGCUCAUUUCAUGCUGAAAAGGCUUCUCCCAAAGCGACACCAAAGGUAUAAGCCCCAUUCCCAGAGUCCUGUUUUGGGAUGUGCAAAAUGCCCUCAAGCAGCUGAGCAGUGCUACCCCUCAUCACCAAAGCAUUCACCUCCCUCUGUCCUGCCCUUUCCCAGCAGCUCUUUGUGCCAGGGUUUGCCAAGGAUGGAGGCCUGUGGAGUUCAUUUUGUUGCCUCACACAGGAUUUCAAAUCCAGCUGCAGCCUCUGGACCUUUCAUCCGGCACCUCCUCUGUGCUGRUGACGAUGACAAAUGAGUGACUUGCUCACAGUUAACCUCACUUCAACCUCGCUGCAUUUGUGCUGCAAAGGAGGCCAGGUGAGCAUCAGAAGCUUUCCAGGUCCUGCCCCUGUCUCUCUUACUUGUGUGGCCUUAAUUUUGACUUCUUUGGGGCACGUUCUAAAAGCUGCCUGUUUUUUACAUGGCUUUGAAGGAAGUUUAAAGAAAUCCUGUGAAGGUACCUUGAAAAUGUUCCUGCCAUCACUGUCCAGUGCCUGAUACAAGUUGUGUUCUUCACUUCAUUAUUUAAACUGCUGGCAGGGUCUUUUCAAGUCACCUCUCUGCUCCCUUGAUGGUGUGAAUAAGGUUAUCUCUGCAGGGCAAGCAGCUAAAGUGUCCCCUAGAGCCAAGGYAUUUGCAGUAUUUUUAUUGUCAUUUCCCUUUUAAGCCUCUGUCAGUAAGAAUAGAGUUUGGCCUGCUGUAUUCAGCUUAAGAAAUUAAGGGAGUGGAUUUCUACAAAUGUUCCUGGAUUCAUAUAUCAACCCCACUCUCCUUGGGUACAGGAAUCCCUCUGAGGCGAGAGUAGCAAGUUCCUGUAGCUGCCUCUGGCUGUAAGAAAAAAAAAAAAAAAGUUGAACAAUUGGCUCUUGCUGUGGUUGAAAAGCACCAAUAAAGGACUGUAAAGAGUUAAAUCCUGCUGUAUUUCAGGGCUUUUCCCUUUAGUCAUGYUCCUCUUGAACUGAACACUCUUCAGAACACCUCUUCACACAUUAGGCUCUCUGUUUUAUUCUCACCUGUGCCAAGGUAAACCUUUCAGCCAUUGGUUUGACCAGCCUUACAGAGAACAGAAUUGGGCAAUUUUGUCUAAUCUCAUCAUGUUGAAAAAGAUGUACUAAAACACGAAAAUAUUAAAAAUGCAGUAGCUGUGCACAAGUCUAUUGUCAUCACAUUUUUCCAAGAAACCAUUCCAAGCUUUUAUCUGUUGUUGAGCUUUGCUUCUAUYGCUAAUAAACCUGUAUGAGACAAACAAUGAAAUAUUGAUUUGCCAACUUGAAACUAUUUCAGCUGCCAUUUUAUUCAGUUUACCCACUGGCAGCACUGCAGAAUGCAGGUUUUGUUGCAGACUGAAUGAACCCAUUGGUUUGAGCAUGACACGGUGAAAUUGUAACACAGCAAUAAAAUUGCAGGGCACAUUUAUGCCAUCUGUUUCGUCGUGGAAAAGCAAAGAACAUCUUAGUGAUGGCCUCAAACAAUAAAUCUGGAUUUAGAAAAGAAAAAUAAUUGGAGCUUGUAACGUUAGGAACAGCCUAAGAUGUUGCACGUCCUCUAUCCCCCACUCUUGCUCAGUGGUGAAAUUCCCUCAAGUGUUUCUUGGUUUAGACAUCCUUAGCUGUUACAGUCUGCUGGGUUAAGGGCUCAAAAAAACCCCUCUAAGCCACAGAACACUGAUUCAACAAAUGUUUGCCUGCUCCUAUCUCAUCUAUUGCUUUUAUCAGCUUUCUAUUUCUGGAGUGGGCAGGCACAAAGGCAGUCAGGUUUGCAUUGCUCCACCAUCAGUCAGUGAUAGGAAACAAAGUUCAAAGGUCAUGUUUGAUGAGCAAGGGGCAAACAUGGAAGAGUUUUGUUCAAUCUUUCAUCAAAACAAUAUAAAAUCUAAGAUUUGAGCCCUGUGUUAUCAGAGAAAAAGGAAAUUAGAUUGUUGUAAUAAAAAUAGAAUGUGCAGAAAAGGUUUUUUCAUUAGGAAAUGAGUGAUGUAAGAUAGGAGGGUUCUCUUACUCUGUUCUCUCAUCAAACAUUUGAUAUUGUGGUCCUUAUAKUUUUGAGUAACCUGUGAUCUGAAAGAUUGAUCCAAAAACAAUGUCUUGUAGCUGCUGAAAUCUGUAGAUACUGAAUGUGAUUAAAAUGAGUCAUGAAUCCUGUUACUAAUUAUUUUUGUUGCUAAUAUAGUUAUAAAUAUUAUGGUUUAUCUACCUAAUAAGAAUUUUUUUAAGUCUUUCUUCACCUUCAAACUGAAAGAGAGUAGAUUUAGAUUAGAUAUUAGGAAGAAAUUCUUCCCUGUGAGGGUUGUGAGGCCCUGGCACAGGUUGCCCAGAGAAGCUGUGGAUGCCCCAUCUCUGGAAAUGUUCAAGGCCRGGUUGGAUGGGGCUCUGAGCAGCCUGGGAUAGUGCAAGGUGUCCCUGCCCAUGGUAGGGGGGGUGGAAUGAGAUCAUUUUUGAGAUCCCUUCCAACCCAAACCAUUCUGUGAUUCUAUUCUGUGAUUCCAUUCUGUGAUUCCAGUCUGUGAUUCCAUUCUGUGAUUAUUUGGUGGAUGAGAUCUCUUGCAGGGAGUUUCUCCACAGUUCCCUAUUGUUUUCUAGGCCCUCUUUCCCAAUCCUCUCUGAUGUACCUGGAUGACCUUCUGUCAUAGUAUCUGUUCAGAAUCUGCAUAUUGUUUUAUGGAAGAGACAAGGAGAAGACAAAAGAUGUCAGAGGUGUUGAAGUCAUUACUUUCUGGUGCAGCUACAGCACUGUGGUGUCUCAAGGCAUCUGCACACACUCCCAGUGUCAAAAUCCUUCCCAGGCACGUCCUACUCUGUUCAACUGCAUCAUCCCCUGUUCCUACUCCUGAUUUCUUACCUGCCAAAAUGUGGCACUUUCCUACAGCCUCCCCCACAAAAUGCUGCUUCACAGGAUGAGACCUKCAUAGCUGAUUGAGUCUACCAGCAGCUUCUGGGAAGGUUUGCAUCCUCACUGAGCCCUCUCCAGUAGGCACCUGGUUCCCUGCCUGGCACAAAUCAGUGCCUGUCAGAUAUUAAAUGAGAAGGAUGGAAGCAACUGUGUUUGUUUGUGUUUAAGCCUCAGAAGGCACAGUUUUCAGGUUUGUUUUUUUAAUAGUGUUUGCCAGUUUUAAGAUGAGAGCUUGAAAAAUGUCAUUAAAAUGAAGAAUGGUCACAAGGUAAUAAAGAAACAAUCUUCUUGCUUUAAUGACUUGAGCUAAAAGCUAAAUGACUGUAGCAGCUCAGAUUGUAAAAGCAGUGGGAAAUUUAAUGAACAGUGACCCCACAGGAGAGUCAAUCUGUCUCUUAAUGUUUAGUUUUGUAAUUUCUUCUGAAAUGUAAUAAACUUCUAUUAUAUAAUCUAUUGGUUACAGAUCCUGGGGUCAGGCUCCCAUUGAGCUUAACUCUGCCAAUCUGUCUCACUUGAAAUUCCUGACCUUCCCUGUGAAAUAGUGAAACGGUGGCAAUUAUCCAAAAUCCAACAUCUGCAUGUGCACAUCCAUCACAGUGCUCAAAUUUAACUGGAGAUUUGUGAAUUGUUUACAAACUGCAUAUCACACUAAAUCUGUAUUUUUUUCUU
Long non-coding RNA from Malurus melanocephalus (red-backed fairy wren), 5295 nucleotides. RefSeq lists it as uncharacterized. The transcript has 3 exons. The record is from RefSeq and is a predicted model, not a curated record. NCBI's taxonomy places the organism in Eukaryota, Metazoa, Chordata, Aves, Passeriformes, Maluridae.